This 1264-nucleotide long non-coding RNA is filed under the name Rattus norvegicus (Norway rat). RNAcentral describes it as "long non-coding RNA NONRATT002219". Lineage: Eukaryota; Metazoa; Chordata; Mammalia; Rodentia; Muridae. The record is from RNAcentral.
CUUACAAAUGUAGUGAAUGUGACAAAUGCUUCACCCGCAAAAGCAGUCUUAAUGUUCACCAGAGAAUUCAUACAGGAGAGAAACCUUACAAAUGUUGUGAAUGUGAGAAAUGCUUUUCACACAAAGGUGAUUUUAGAAAACAUCAGAGAAUUCAUAUAGGGAAAAAACCUAACUAAUGCUAAUGUAACAUAUGCUUUACCCAAGAAUUUGGUCUUAUUCAUCAAAGAAUUCAUACAAGAGAGAAGCCUUUCAAGUGAAUGUAACAAUGCUUUAACCCACAAAAGCAGUCUUAGAAUUCAUCAGAGAAUCCAUGUAAGAGAAAAAUCUUCAAAAUAUAGUCAGUGUGACAAAUUAUUUGGCUAGAAACAAUCUUAGCACUCAUCAGAGGAUCCACUUAGUAGAGAAACUUCACAAAUAAAUUUAAUAAGAAAAAUUCAUUCCCAAGGAGGAUCAUCUUGGCAUUCAUCAGAGACUACAUAUAGGAGAGAGACCUUACAAAUGUAGUAAUGUGCAAAUCUUUUACUGUUGGUUCAACACUUAGAAUAUAUCAAAGAAUGCAUAUGGGAGAAAAACCUUAUUAAUGUAAUGUAUGAGAAAAGGUCUUUACCCAAAUCUUAGAUCUGACAAUAUACCUAGACAUUUAUCAUUAGAAAAACAAUGUGCACUGGAUAAAAAUGUAUAAUGUGCUUUAUGCAAACAGUAUUGUUUGCAACACUUCAGACUUCACACUAGAGAAUUAAAUAAAUGAGGAGGUCAUGAAAACGUUUAAAUAUUUCUGAAAUCUUAGAAACUACCCAGGGUUUAUGGUGAGAAAUUGAAAAUGUGACAAUGAAAGAAAUUUUCAUUAAAAUUUUUAUUUGCUCACUUUCAAAUUAUGUCAUAAUAAAAACACAAUGAAGAAGCACAAAGAGUAUGGAAUUGUGUAAAGGUUCUUGGAGACUAAAAUGAUCUAUUUCAAAGAGAAGCUACAAAACACAUACCUCAAAGUACCUAAGAAAACUGACAAAUUCAGUAUACUUAAUUCCAAUAAAGAUACUCAGACAAAUUAUACUUCUUAAAAGAGGAUUUGAGAAAGUGAGGCACUAAGGUAGGAUGCUCUUUAUCCUAUAUAGAUAUGUGGUUUGCUCACAAUGUCCAAUAUUCACAAUCUGUAUUAUAUAGUAGUUUUAAGUUUCAGGAUAGCAAUUGUCUUUGAGUCCCUUUGACUUUCAUUUACCAACUCCUUCCCCUUAGUCCUAUAUGUAACUAAAGCUAAUUGCUUCAA